UCGCAGAUCAGAAUGCUGCGGGGAAUGCGUUCCCGGGUCUUGUACACACCGCCCGUCACACCACGGGAGUUGGAGACGCCCGAAGCCGAUUAUCUAACCUUUUGGAAGAAGUCGUCGAAGGUGGAAUAAAUAACUGGGGUGAAGUCGUAACAAGGUAGCCGUAUCGGAAGGUGCGGCUGGAUCACCUCCUUUCUAAGGAGA
Molecule: ribosomal RNA, 201 nt
Filed under: Clostridioides difficile
Lineage: Bacteria; Bacillati; Bacillota; Clostridia; Peptostreptococcales; Peptostreptococcaceae
Description: partial 16S ribosomal RNA
Rfam family: Bacterial small subunit ribosomal RNA
Source: RNAcentral